Molecule: long non-coding RNA, 999 nt
Organism: Magnolia sinica
Lineage: Eukaryota; Viridiplantae; Streptophyta; Magnoliopsida; Magnoliales; Magnoliaceae
Exons: 3
Source: RefSeq, a predicted model, not a curated record
GCUACCGGAUUGUCAUGAACUGUGGACCGGCGAGCAGUUCUCGGGAACAAAGAUUGCAAGGACUCUUCACCAACCCAAAUGUCCUCCCAAAAACUAAUAUUCUCCCCAUUCCCGAGGGCAAAGCCCAUUCCUUCAACAAAAUUUGACUUCAUAGAAAUAAUCUCUUUCCAAAUUGCCAAGGCUCUAGACAUGGAGGAUUCCCUAAUACACCAUGCCUCCCACUGAAUCUUUUCCCUUUUUCAUUGUUUGGCAUGGAAUCCAUUGUUUCAGACAUGCCUUGGUUCUUGGAGAAGUUCUAAACUAGAAAUCAAUAUCUCUUUUUCAUUUGUGGUUUGUUGUUUUAGGUGAGAUGGAUGGCGAGGAACACAGUGAAAUUGAAUCUGCAGCAGAGUUGUUUUGGUGAAGCCACUCACAGAUGAACUUCUGUUGGAAGCGAUCCAGACAACCAGUUCUAACUGAAAAAUGUGCCUAAACAGUGAAGCACCACCAGUCAACAGUCCGGAGAUCGUAAAGAGUAGUAUCCAGAUGGCUUCCUGCACUUUUCUCCAAUGACAUAGUUGGUGAUGAAACUGUCUUGAUUUUGUUGAUAUGGUGGGCCACAAUGUGGAUGAUGAGACAACUGUUUGACUAUCCAAUUGUUGUGAAUUUUACUUUGUUGAGUGUAGACCACUGCUAUUGACUCUUCCUUUGGUAGGCCACUACUUGUGUGAGGGUUCCUGAAGUCCAAUCCUAUUCUCUCUGGGAUAUGGCUAGGAGUAUAUAUAUCCAUCUUCUCCUACUUGUAUUGGCCAUCUGAUUACUGGAUCAGACUGACUUCUGGGCCUGGGCAACAAAGGCUUCCUUCUACAAAUAUUCAGUCACCUGACAUAAAUGCACCGUAGUUCUGGAAAUGAGAAGGUAUUCCAUUCAUAUGAGUUUUUAGACCAUUUCCACCUUUUUGUCUGGAGAAUUCCACACUUGGAUGCUCAAACUACAUUUUGUUGUUGUUCAAUUUAUAUA